GCCUUGCCGGAGCAUCAUUAGACGCCCAGUAUAUGGAAAAGACAGGUGUGGCUUCCUGGUUUCCCUUGGGAUGAAAUUAUGGAGAGGAAGGGGAGGGUGAAGGGAUGACAGGAACUGUCGGAAUGACUGAGAUGCAUUGCAUACAAAAAGACCUGAUGCAGCCCUAAUAGUGACUCUUUUAUGCAAGGCAGCUCAUCCCCCAGAGACGACUUUCUCCCACAAUGCCCUGACCCUGAGAUCUAUGUGUGGAAUUCUCUGCUCAUUUAUCAGUGUGGGCCUGCUCCUCUCCCUGCGCACUCUCAUUUUUUCACAGUCCCGAUCCUGGUACUGUUGCACCCCAAACUACAUCUGUGUAACUCUCAGACUUGCACACAACCGAGCAUACCUACAGCUGUGGGAAAAGUUAUGUGUUUUUCUCUCCAAAUUCAAAAUAUAAACACUUAAGAUAACAAAACAUAACUAAAUUAACAUAAAUAUUUUAGUU
This 484-nucleotide long non-coding RNA is filed under the name Danio rerio (zebrafish). Its description in RNAcentral is "lncRNA si:dkey-9i5.1 (ENSDARG00000096099.4)". Lineage: Eukaryota; Metazoa; Chordata; Actinopteri; Cypriniformes; Danionidae. The record is from RNAcentral.